RNAcentral lists this ribosomal RNA (497 nucleotides) under uncultured bacterium. Its description in RNAcentral is "partial 16S ribosomal RNA". It matches the Rfam family "Bacterial small subunit ribosomal RNA", at positions 28 to 507 of the family's 1533-position model. The record is from RNAcentral.
GAUGAACGCUGGCGGCGUGCCUAAUACAUGCAAGUCGAGCGAACGGACUAGAAGCUUGCUUCUCUGAUGUUAGCGGCGGACGGGUGAGUAACACGUGGAUAACCUACCUAUAGGACUGGGAUAACUUCGGGAAACCGUAGCUAAUACCGGAUAAUAUUUUGAACCGCAUGGUUCAAAAGUGAAAGACGGUCUUGCUGUCACUUAUAGAUGGAUCCGCGCUGCAUUAGCUAGUUGGUAAGGUAACGGCUUACCAAGGCAACGAUGCAUAGCCGACCUGAGAGGGUGAUCGGCCACACUGGAACUGAGACACGGUCCAGACUCCUACGGGAGGCAGCAGUAGGGAAUCUUCCGCAAUGGGCGAAAGCCUGACGGAGCAACGCCGCGUGAGUGAUGAAGGUCUUCGGAUCGUAAAACUCUGUUAUUAGGGAAGAACAUAUGUGUAAGUAACUGUGCACAUCUUGACGGUACCUAAUCAGAAAGCCACGGCUAACUACGUG